CUUGCCCCUAGAAGUGCUGCAGGUGUAGCUGCUGUGUCACAUGUGGGUCAGAAGGCGGUAGGGAGGAGAGAGGCUAUGUCUAUGCUCAGUGUUCUGACCUGUGAACAUUUGAAUAAUUAAUAGCCUAACAGU
This is a small nucleolar RNA of Acomys russatus (golden spiny mouse), 132 nucleotides long. RefSeq annotates it as small nucleolar RNA SNORA17. The record is from RefSeq and is a predicted model, not a curated record. The transcript has a single exon. Lineage: Eukaryota; Metazoa; Chordata; Mammalia; Rodentia; Muridae.